RNAcentral lists this transfer RNA (74 nucleotides) under Leptospiraceae bacterium. Its description in RNAcentral is "tRNA-Arg". It matches the Rfam family "tRNA". From Rfam's summary of the family: Transfer RNA (tRNA) molecules are approximately 80 nucleotides in length. Their secondary structure includes four short double-helical elements and three loops (D, anti-codon, and T loops). Further hydrogen bonds mediate the characteristic L-shaped molecular structure. tRNAs have two regions of fundamental functional importance: the anti-codon, which is responsible for specific mRNA codon recognition, and the 3' end, to which the tRNAs corresponding amino acid is attached (by aminoacyl-tRNA synthetases). tRNAs cope with the degeneracy of the genetic code in two manners: having more than one tRNA (with a specific anti-codon) for a particular amino acid; and 'wobble' base-pairing, i.e. permitting non-standard base-pairing at the 3rd anti-codon position. Lineage: Bacteria; Pseudomonadati; Spirochaetota; Leptospiria; Leptospirales; Leptospiraceae. The record is from RNAcentral.
GCGCUCAUAGCUCAGCUGGAUAGAGUUUUUGGCUUCGAACCAAAAGGUCCCAGGUUCGAAUCCUGGUGAGCGCA